GUACCAUAACCGACACAGGUGGGUAGGUAGAGUAUACUAAGGGGCGCGAGAUAACUCUCCCUAAGGAACUCGGCAAAAUGACUCCGUAACUUCGGGAGAAGGAGUGCCUUAUUUAUAAGGUUGCAAUAACAAGAUCCAAGCAACUGUUUAUCAAAAACACAGGUCUCCGCUAAGUCGUAAGACGAUGUAUGGGGGCUGACGCCUGCCCAGUGCCAGAAGGUUAAAGAAGUUGGUUAGUGUAUGCGAAGCUGAUGACUGAAGCCCUGGUGAACGGCGGCCGUAACUAUAACGGUCCUAAGGUAGCGAAAUUCCUUGUCGGGUAAGUUCCGACCCGCACGAAAGGCGUAAUGAUUUGGAUACUGUCUCGGAGAGAGGCUCGGUGAAAUAGACUUGUCUGUGAAGAUGCGGACUACCUGCACCAGGACAGAAAGACCCUAUGAAGCUUUACUGUAACUUGAAAUUGGAAUUGGACUUUGCUUGCGCAGUAUAGGUGGGAAGCGUUGAAGAUAUUCUUGCGGGAGUAUUGGAGCUAUCAGUGAGAUACCACUCUUGUAAUGUUAGAUUUCUAACUUUGAACCAUAAUCUGGUCAAAGAACAGUUUCAGGUGGGCAGUUUGACUGGGGCGGUCGCCUCCCAAAUGGUAACGGAGGCGUACAAAGGUUUCCUCUGAACGGAUAGAAAUCGUAUCUAGAGUGUAAAGGCAUAAGGAAGCUUGACUGUGAGACCUACAAGUCGAGCAGGGACGAAAGUCGGUCUUAGUGAUCUGACGGUACUGAGUGGAAAGGCCGUCACUCAACGGAUAAAAGUUACUCUAGGGAUAACAGGCUGAUCUCCCCCAAGAGUUCACAUCGACGGGGAGGUUUGGCACCUCGAUGUCGGCUCAUCGCAUCCUGGGGCGGUAGUACGUCCCAAGGGUUGGGCUGUUCGCCCAUGAAAGCGGUACGCGAGCUGGGUUCAGAACGUCGUGAGACAGUUCGGUCCAUAUCCGGUGUAGGCGUUAGAAUAUUGAGAGGAGCCUUCUUUAGUACGAGAGGACCGAGAAGGACACACCGCUGGUGUACCAGUUAUCGUGCCAACGGUAAACGCUGGGUAGCUAUGUGUGGAGUGGAUAACCGCUGAAAGCAUCUAAGUGGGAAGCCCACCUCAAGAUGAGUAUUCUCACAGGGUUAACCUGGUAAGGUCACGGGAAGACCACCCGUUAAUAGGUAGCUAUGUGU
Molecule: ribosomal RNA, 1217 nt
Filed under: metagenome
Description: bacterial LSU rRNA
Rfam family: Bacterial large subunit ribosomal RNA
Source: RNAcentral